UGGGGUCAAAUGAAGAUCUGAAGCAUAGUUCAUCUGAUCACUCUGUGAUUUUAAAAAUGUCUUUCGCUCCUAUCUGAUGAUCCUU
Molecule: small nucleolar RNA, 85 nt
Filed under: Genlisea aurea
Lineage: Eukaryota; Viridiplantae; Streptophyta; Magnoliopsida; Lamiales; Lentibulariaceae
Description: Small nucleolar RNA snR60/Z15/Z230/Z193/J17
Rfam family: Small nucleolar RNA snR60/Z15/Z230/Z193/J17
About the family: The members of this family belong to the C/D class of snoRNAs which contain the C (UGAUGA) and D (CUGA) box motifs. Most of the members of the box C/D family function in directing site-specific 2'-O-methylation of substrate RNAs.
Source: Rfam by way of RNAcentral